RNAcentral lists this RNase P RNA (353 nucleotides) under Clostridia bacterium. RNAcentral's name for it is "RNase P RNA component class A". It matches the Rfam family "Bacterial RNase P class A". From Rfam's summary of the family: Ribonuclease P (RNase P) is a ubiquitous endoribonuclease, found in archaea, bacteria and eukarya as well as chloroplasts and mitochondria. Its best characterised activity is the generation of mature 5'-ends of tRNAs by cleaving the 5'-leader elements of precursor-tRNAs. Cellular RNase Ps are ribonucleoproteins. The record is from RNAcentral. Lineage: Bacteria; Bacillati; Bacillota; Clostridia.
CGAGUUAAUUAUACGGUUGCGGGCAAAGAAAUUUGCGUGAGGAAAGUCCGAGCAUCACAGGGCAAGGGUGCCUGUUAACGGCAGGUGAAGGCGACUUCAAGGAAAGUGAACAGAAAUAUACCGCAGCUUUUAGCUGUAAGGUUGGAAUGGCGAGGUAAGAGCUCACCGUGGCGGCGGUAACGCUGCCAGCCAGUCAAACCCCACCCGAUGCAAGAUUGGGAUAAUACCUUAUUUAGAUAUAGGGGCUGCCCGUCCGGUAUUAUCCGUUAACAUCGCUCGAACCGUUCGGCGACGAACGGUCUAGAUAGAUAACCGUACACGACAGAACUCGGCUUACAGAUUAAUCUCGGAUU